GAGUGCAGGAAAUUCGCGUGCCGGUGAGAAUGACUGGUAAGAAAAAAACCUCCUCUUGCGAUGCCAAUUCAGCUUGCUUUAUAGAAUUGAUCAACAUGGGUAGUUUAGGAUUUUAUGAUUGAAGUUUCUUAUGAAAGUUCGGAUUUGCAAGGAAUUCUGGUUGCGUUUUCUUGUAACGUCUUGCACCCUUUCCGCGCAGGCUUGUAUUCAACAUUGAGAUCUUUUCAAAUUGCAUUGUUUUUUUGUUUUAUUUGCACCCUUGCUUU
This 266-nucleotide long non-coding RNA is filed under the name Lathyrus oleraceus (garden pea). RNAcentral's name for it is "Pisum sativum (pea) long non-coding RNA (PSAT_LNC017954)". Lineage: Eukaryota; Viridiplantae; Streptophyta; Magnoliopsida; Fabales; Fabaceae. The record is from RNAcentral.